RNAcentral lists this ribosomal RNA (254 nucleotides) under uncultured bacterium. RNAcentral's name for it is "partial 16S ribosomal RNA". It matches the Rfam family "Bacterial small subunit ribosomal RNA", at positions 524 to 776 of the family's 1533-position model. The record is from RNAcentral.
UACGGAGGGUGCAAGCGUUAUCCGGAUUUAUUGGGUUUAAAGGGUACGUAGGCGGUGAGGUAAGUCAGUGGUGAAAUCCGGCAGCUUAACUGUUCGGACUGCCAUUGAUACUGCUUCACUCGAGUGCAGUCGAGGUAGGUGGAAUUCCAUGUGUAGCGGUGAAAUGCUUAGAGAUAUGGAGGAACGCCGAUAACGAAGGUAACUUACUAGGCUGUAACUGACGCUGAGGUACGAAAGCGUGGGGAGCAAACGGG